GACGAGGUGGCCGAGUGGUUAAGGCGAUGGACUGCUAAUCCAUUGUGCUGUGCUCUGCACGCGUGGGUUCGAAUCCCAUCCUCGUCG
Molecule: transfer RNA, 87 nt
Filed under: Hippoglossus stenolepis (Pacific halibut)
Lineage: Eukaryota; Metazoa; Chordata; Actinopteri; Pleuronectiformes; Pleuronectidae
Description: tRNA-Ser
Rfam family: tRNA
About the family: Transfer RNA (tRNA) molecules are approximately 80 nucleotides in length. Their secondary structure includes four short double-helical elements and three loops (D, anti-codon, and T loops).
Source: RNAcentral